GGAGAAAGAGGACGGCCGACGGUAGGGUUUACACCCAGCUGAGGAAAUUCCCCUCUCCAUGAGAGAAGUGGACCGAAUAAUAGGUACGGCGAGAGCCGUGGCAAGGGCACAGAAACGACACAGUUCCAUUUAAGGGUGAACUGCUAGGCAGGGACGUUUGUGGAAAUUUGGUGAAACGGCGACCCCCCACUGGAGCAAGUCCAAACAGCCGGGAUGACGAUCUCAGGACUGGCGGGUAGGAUGCGUAGUUGAAUGCCGUCUGAAACAGAAAGGGGAUUACUACUU
RNAcentral lists this RNase P RNA (285 nucleotides) under uncultured Methanomassiliicoccus sp. RNAcentral describes it as "Archaeal RNase P". It matches the Rfam family "Archaeal RNase P". From Rfam's summary of the family: Ribonuclease P (RNase P) is a ubiquitous endoribonuclease, found in archaea, bacteria and eukarya as well as chloroplasts and mitochondria. Its best characterised activity is the generation of mature 5'-ends of tRNAs by cleaving the 5'-leader elements of precursor-tRNAs. Lineage: Archaea; Methanobacteriati; Thermoplasmatota; Thermoplasmata; Methanomassiliicoccales; Methanomassiliicoccaceae. The record is from RNAcentral.